Molecule: ribosomal RNA, 487 nt
Filed under: uncultured bacterium
Lineage: Bacteria
Description: bacterial SSU rRNA
Rfam family: Bacterial small subunit ribosomal RNA
Source: RNAcentral
GAUGGACGCUAGCGGGAGGCUUAACACAUGCAAGUCGAGGGGCAGCAUAGGGUAGCAAUACUCUGAUGGCGACCGGCAAACGGGUGAGUAACGCGUAUGCAACCUACCCUGUACAGGGGGAUAACCCGGAGAAAUUCGGACUAAUAUCCCGUAAUAAUAUCCGGAGGCAUCUUUGGAUAUUUAAAGUUCCGACGGUACGGGAUGGGCAUGCGUAACAUUAGCUGGUUGGUAAGGUAACGGCUUACCAAGGCUAUGAUGUUUAGGGGUCCUGAGAGGGUGGUCCCCCACACUGGUACUGAGACACGGACCAGACUCCUACGGGAGGCAGCAGUGAGGAAUAUUGGUCAAUGGGCGCAAGCCUGAACCAGCCAUCCCGCGUGCAGGAAGACGGCCCUAUGGGUUGUAAACUGCUUUUCCAGGGAGAGAAACUUACGCACGUGUUGCGUGACUGACGGUACCCUGGGAAUAAGCAUCGGCUAACUCCGUG